CCUACGGGAGGCAGCAGUGAGGAAUAUUGGUCAAUGGGCGCGAGCCUGAACCAGCCAAGUAGCGUGAAGGAUGACUGCCCUACGGGUUGUAAACUUCUUUUAUAAAGGAAUAAAGUGAGGCACGUGUGCCUUUUUGUAUGUACUUUAUGAAUAAGGAUCGGCUAACUCCGUGCCAGCAGCCGCGGUAAUACGGAGGUUCCGAGCGUUAUCCGGAUUUAUUGGGUUUAAAGGGAGCGUAGGUGGGUUUUUAAGUCAGUUGUGAAAGUUUGCGGCUCAACCGUGAAAUUGCAAUUGAUACUGGCGGCCUUGAGUACAGUUGAGGUAGGCGGAAUUCGUGGUGUAGCGGUGAAAUGCUUAGAUAUCACGAAGAACUCCGAUUGCGAAGGCAGCUUACUAAACUGCCACUGACGUUGAUGCUCGAAAGUGUGGGUAUCAAACAGGAUUAGAUACCCUGGUAGUC
Molecule: ribosomal RNA, 460 nt
Filed under: uncultured bacterium
Lineage: Bacteria
Description: partial 16S ribosomal RNA
Rfam family: Bacterial small subunit ribosomal RNA
Source: RNAcentral